UACGGAGGGUGCAAGCGUUAAUCGGAAUUAUUGGGCGUAAAGCGCGCGUAGGUGGAUUGUUAAGUCAGAUGUGAAAGCCCCGGGCUCAACCUGGGAAUUGCAUUUGAUACUGGCAGUCUAGAGUAUGGUAGAGGGUAGUGGAAUUCCUGGUGUAGCAGUGAAAUGCGUAGAUAUCAGGAGGAACAUCAGUGGCGAAGGCGACUACCUGGACCAAUACUGACACUGAGGCGCGAAAGCGUGGGUAGCGAACGGG
This 253-nucleotide ribosomal RNA is filed under the name uncultured bacterium. Its description in RNAcentral is "partial 16S ribosomal RNA". It matches the Rfam family "Bacterial small subunit ribosomal RNA", at positions 524 to 776 of the family's 1533-position model. The record is from RNAcentral.